UGCCAGCCGCCGCGGUAAUACGGAGGGUGCAAGCGUUGUUCGGAAUUAUUGGGCGUAAAGCGCGUGUAGGCGGUUCGUUAAGUCUGAUGUGAAAGCCCGGGGCUCAACCCCGGAAGUGCAUUGGAAACUGGCGAACUUGAGUACGGGAGAGGAAAGUGGAAUUCCGAGUGUAGGGGUGAAAUCCGUAGAUAUCUGGAGGAACAUCGGUGGCGAAGGCGACUGGCUGGCUGUUGAUUGACGCUGAGGCACGAAAGCGUGGGUAGCAAACAGGAUUAGAUA
This 279-nucleotide ribosomal RNA is filed under the name uncultured bacterium. RNAcentral describes it as "partial 16S ribosomal RNA". It matches the Rfam family "Bacterial small subunit ribosomal RNA", at positions 506 to 784 of the family's 1533-position model. The record is from RNAcentral.